CUUUCAACAACGGAUCUCUUGGUUCUGGCAUCGAUGAAGAACGCAGCGAAAUGCGAUAAGUAAUGUGAAUUGCAGAAUUCAGUGAAUCAUCGAAUCUUUGAACGCACAUUGCGCCCGCUAGUACUCUAGCGGGCAUGCCUGUUCGAGCGUCAUUUCAACCCUCAAGCCCUGCUUGGUGUUGGGGCCCUACGGCUGCCGUAGGCCCUGAAAGGAAGUGGCGGGCUCGCUACAACUCCGAGCGUAGUAAUUCAUUA
RNAcentral lists this ribosomal RNA (254 nucleotides) under Coniochaeta sp. RNAcentral's name for it is "5.8S ribosomal RNA". The stretch from base 1 to 152 matches the Rfam family "5.8S ribosomal RNA". Rfam says of the family: 5.8S ribosomal RNA (5.8S rRNA) is a component of the large subunit of the eukaryotic ribosome. The record is from RNAcentral. Lineage: Eukaryota; Fungi; Ascomycota; Sordariomycetes; Coniochaetales; Coniochaetaceae.